This is a ribosomal RNA of 801 nucleotides. It matches the Rfam family "Eukaryotic large subunit ribosomal RNA", at positions 76 to 894 of the family's 3401-position model.
UGCCUCAGUAACGGCGAGUGAAGCGGCAAAAGCUCAAAUUUGAAAUCUGGCUCUUUCAGGGUCCGAGUUGUAAUUUGUAGAAGAUGCUUCGGGUGUGGUCCCGGUCUAAGUUCCUUGGAACAGGACGUCAUAGAGGGUGAGAAUCCCGUAUGUGACUGGGUACCUACGCUCAUGUGAAGCUCUUUCGACGAGUCGAGUUGUUUGGGAAUGCAGCUCAAAAUGGGUGGUAAAUUUCAUCUAAAGCUAAAUAUUGGCCAGAGACCGAUAGCGCACAAGUAGAGUGAUCGAAAGAUGAAAAGCACUUUGGAAAGAGAGUUAAACAGUACGUGAAAUUGUUGAAAGGGAAGCGCUUGCAAUCAGACUUGCGCCUAGUUGAUCAUCCGGGCUUCUGCCCGGUGCACUCGAUUAGGCUCAGGCCAGCAUCGGUUUGGGUGGUUGGAUAAAGGCUUGGGGAACGUAGCCUCCUUCGGGGGGUGUUAUAGCCCCAGGUGCAAUGCAGCCUACCUGGACCGAGGACCGCGCUUCGGCUAGGAUGCUGGCGUAAUGGUUGUAAGCGACCCGUCUUGAAACACGGACCAAGGAGUCUAACAUUUAUGCGAGUGUUUGGGUGUUAAACCCAUACGCGUAAUGAAAGUGAACGGAGGUAAGAACCCUUAAGGGUGCAUUAUCGACCGAUCCUGAUGUCUUCGGAUGGAUUUGAGUAAGAGCAUAACUGUUGGGACCCGAAAGAUGGUGAUCUAUACGUGAAUAGGGUGAAGCCAGAGGAAACUCUGGUGGAGGCUCGCAGCGGUUCUGACGUGC